AAUUGGAGGGCAAGUCUGGUGCCAGCAGCCGCGGUAAUUCCAGCUCCAAUAGCGUAUAUUAAAGUUGUUGCAGUUAAAAAGCUCGUAGUUGAAUUUCGGGGUCAGUAGAUUGGUCGUGCCACUGGUAUGUACUGGUCUUACUGGCUCCUCCUUCCUGAUGAACCGUAAUGCCAUUAAUUUGGUGUUGCGGGGAGACUGGACUGUUACUUUGAAAAAAUUAGAGUGUUUAAAGCAGGCUAACGCUUGAAUACAUUAGCAUGGAAUAAUGAAAUAGGACGUUCGGUCUUAUUUUGUUGGUUUCUAGGAUUGACGUAAUGAUUAAUAGGGAUAGUUGGGGGCAUUAGUAUUCAAUUGUCAGAGGUGAAAUUCUUGGAUUUAUUGAAGACUAACUACUGCGAAAGCAUUUGCCAAGGAUGUUUUCAUUAAUCAAGAACGAAAGUUAGGGGAUCGAAGACGAUCAGAUACCGUCGUAGUCUUAACCAUAAACUAUGCCGACUAGGGAUCGGAUGAUGUUAAUUUUUUAAUGACUCAUUCGGCGCCUUACGGGAAACCAAAGUGU
This 559-nucleotide ribosomal RNA is filed under the name uncultured Glomus. RNAcentral describes it as "SSU rRNA". It matches the Rfam family "Eukaryotic small subunit ribosomal RNA", at positions 546 to 1106 of the family's 1831-position model. Lineage: Eukaryota; Fungi; Glomeromycota; Glomeromycetes; Glomerales; Glomeraceae. The record is from RNAcentral.